Molecule: ribosomal RNA, 253 nt
Filed under: uncultured bacterium
Lineage: Bacteria
Description: partial 16S ribosomal RNA
Rfam family: Bacterial small subunit ribosomal RNA
Source: RNAcentral
UACGGAGGGUGCAAACGUUGCUCGGAAUCAUUGGGCGUAAAGCGCACGUAGGUGGCCUGUUAAGUCGGGUGUGAAAUCCCUGGGCUCAACCCAGGAAGUGCACUCGAAACUGGCAGGCUUGAGUACUGAAGAGGGUUGCGGAAUUCCACGUGUAGCGGUGAAAUGCGUAGAGAUGUGGAGGAACACCAGUGGCGAAGGCGGCUCUCUGGUCUGUAACUGACGCUGAGGCGCGAAAGCGUGGGGAGCAAACAGG